AGCGAGCGCUGGCGGCAGGCCUAAUACAUGCAAGUCGAACGGAUCCUUCGGGAUUAGUGGCGGACGGGUGAGUAACACGUGGGAACGUGCCCUUUGGUUCGGAACAACUCAGGGAAACUUGAGCUAAUACCGGAUAAGCCCUUCGGGGAAGAUUAUCGCCAUUGGAGCGGCCCGCGUCUGAUUAGCUAGUUGGUGGGGUAAAGGCCUACCAAGGCGACGAUCAGUAGCUGGUCUGAGAGGANGAUCAGCCACACUGGGACUGAGACACGGCCCAGACUCCUACGGGAGGCAGCAGUAGGGAAUCUUGCGCAAUGGGCGAAAGCCUGACGCAGCCAUGCCGCGUGAAUGAUGAAGGUCUUAGGAUUGUAAACCUCUUUCAGCCCUGACGAAGCGAGAGUGACGGUAGGGGCAGAGAAGCACCGGCCAACUACGUGCCAGCCGCCGCCGUAAG
This 451-nucleotide ribosomal RNA is filed under the name uncultured bacterium. RNAcentral's name for it is "bacterial SSU rRNA". It matches the Rfam family "Bacterial small subunit ribosomal RNA", at positions 29 to 524 of the family's 1533-position model. The record is from RNAcentral.